AGGGAAUCUUCGGCAAUGGACGGAAGUCUGACCGAGCAACGCCGCGUGAGUGAAGAAGGUUUUCGGAUCGUAAAGCUCUGUUGUAAGAGAAGAACGAGUGUGAGAGUGGAAAGUUCACACUGUGACGGUAUCUUACCAGAAAGGGACGGCUAACUACGUGCCAGCAGCCGCGGUAAUACGUAGGUCCCGAGCGUUAUCCGGAUUUAUUGGGCGUAAAGCGAGCGCAGGCGGUUAGAUAAGUCUGAAGUUAAAGGCUGUGGCUUAACCAUAGUACGCUUUGGAAACUGUUUAACUUGAGUGCAGAAGGGGAGAGUGGAAUUCCAUGUGUAGCGGUGAAAUGCGUAGAUAUAUGGAGGAACACCGGUGGCGAAAGCGGCUCUCUGGUCUGUGACUGACGCUGAGGCUCGAAAGCGUGGGGAGCAAACAGGAUUAGAUACCCUGGUAGUCCACGCCGUAAACGAUGAGUGCUAGGUGUUGGGUCCUUUCCGGGACUCAGUGCCGCAGCUAACGCAUUAAGCACUCCGCCUGGGGAGUACGACCGCAAGGUUG
Molecule: ribosomal RNA, 549 nt
Filed under: uncultured bacterium
Lineage: Bacteria
Description: bacterial SSU rRNA
Rfam family: Bacterial small subunit ribosomal RNA
Source: RNAcentral